RNAcentral lists this transfer RNA (67 nucleotides) under Cryptocephalus lusitanicus. Its description in RNAcentral is "tRNA-Tyr". It matches the Rfam family "tRNA". Rfam says of the family: Transfer RNA (tRNA) molecules are approximately 80 nucleotides in length. Their secondary structure includes four short double-helical elements and three loops (D, anti-codon, and T loops). The record is from RNAcentral. Lineage: Eukaryota; Metazoa; Arthropoda; Insecta; Coleoptera; Chrysomelidae.
GGUGAAAUGGCCGAAUUGUAGGCGUUAAAUUGUAAAUUUAAACACGAGGAAAUUUCUUCUUUCACCA